This 252-nucleotide ribosomal RNA is filed under the name uncultured bacterium. RNAcentral describes it as "partial 16S ribosomal RNA". It matches the Rfam family "Bacterial small subunit ribosomal RNA", at positions 524 to 776 of the family's 1533-position model. The record is from RNAcentral.
UACGUAGGUCCCGAGCGUUGUCCGGAUUUAUUGGGCGUAAAGCGAGCGCAGGUGGUUUAUUAAGUCUGGUGUAAAAGGCAGUGGCUCAACCAUUGUACGCAUUGGAAACUGGUAGACUUGAGUGCAGGAGAGGAGAGUGGAAUUCCAUGUGUAGCGGUGAAAUGCGUAGAUAUAUGGAGGAACACCGGUGGCGAAAGCGGCUCUCUGGCCUGUAACUGACACUGAGGCUCGAAAGCAUGGGGAGCAAACAGG